This 2450-nucleotide unclassified non-coding RNA is filed under the name Hevea brasiliensis (rubber tree). Lineage: Eukaryota; Viridiplantae; Streptophyta; Magnoliopsida; Malpighiales; Euphorbiaceae. The record is from RNAcentral.
AUAAAUAAAUAAAUAAAUAAAGGAUAUUUAGCGUCAAACACCCUAUAUAAGAAUAUUUCCCUAAUGGAAAUUUGUAAUUAAUUUCCUAAUCAAAAUUAAGCCUUCUCCUAUUAAACAUUAUACAUAGAUUCCAGAUCACAGAAAUGCUGAAGUACAAAACUAAAAUUGCAUAAAGGUUAGCAACUAAUUCCUUUUCCGAUGGAUGCAUUAAUCUCCCUUGGUAGGAGAAAAUAUGACCUCAGGUUUUCAAAGUGUUUUAGUAUGAAAAUAUUAGAAACAUGCACUACUAGGUUUCUUCACUACUCAAAUUCCUUUGCUUCUUUGUUCACUACUCAAACAUGAUUCAGCCUUUGCUUCUUUGUUCUCUAUUCAGACCUCUUUCGUAGAGGAUUCAAUAAGCUUUCUCCUUCACUUAGCAGCAUGCACUUCUGACAGUUCAUCAUGUGUCUUAGAUGCGUCCACUUGCAGUUCUGCUUCCACUACUAGAUGUUUAGGGACCUAAGAUUGCUCCUUGUGACAAAACCAUGGCUUCAUGUCUUUUUAAAUAGAUUCUUUUCACUGACUGGAACUAUAAUCUUCCCCUUCAUUAAUUCAAAAGAUACAUUCUUCAAUAUAGCCUCUUCUCUUGACCAAAGGAUCAUGAUAGAGCUCAAUCCAUCAUAGGAAAAUUGCAGAUCAGAAAUCAUAAAAAAAGCAUUCCAGAAGGGAAGAUUUAACUAACACUGUCAAAACUGAAAAUGAAUCAAGGCUGACUCCCUCCUCCACAGAACCACAAGGAUCAAAAUCUUGUUGCAGCAUUUCCUCUGUGCUAGGAUAUAAUAUGUGAUGAACUGUAACUAACUUUGUGAUACAGCACGACCAAUUUUUGAACUAAAUGAUAAGUGGUUCAGAUUCGGGAAAAAGAUUGGAUGCUUUGGUCACAAGGUGUUUGGAUAAAACAUCUGGCAUUCGGACAGGUCACAAGGUAUUUGGAUAAGACAUCUGGUGCUCUGAUGGGUCACAGGUUUUCGGAUAAAACAUCUGGUGUUUGGAUAAGUAGUUGCUUGGAUAAUACACAAGAAUGAAGGGGUACGAAUUGGUUACAUGCUAAAAGUAUGUUUUAUAUUAUCGCCGAGAAUAUAGGACAUAUUAGUUGAUACCUCUGCAAAGAAUGCACAGAAAUGAGCUGGUAAAAUCCUGACUAAAACGGGAAAGGUACCAUCCCCUACUAUAUAAAUACGAUCAACAUCAAUGUUCAAGAUACGCAAUUCUAUUAUAUUCUUCUUCUUUUUGUUGAUGUCGGAGUGGCCUAGCUUAGGCCACCGAUCUCACCUUUUUUUCUUGGUUGCAGGCAGCAUUCUGAUCAACCACCAACCCAAGAACCUCAGGCAACAUCAGUUUAACUUGGCAAAACAAGUAGCCCCACAGUGUAUGUAACUUGAAUCAUGACCCAAGCGCAUAGCAUUGUCAGAUUUUAUACUAUCAGGUUGCUGCCCAUAUGGCAUAUGCCCUAAAGUUUCAGAAAAAAUACAUGUUAAAAAAUAAAUGAACAAAAGAUUUCUUUUUCUUUCUUUUUUCUGCCAUUCAUACGAACUCCUAUUUCUAAUUUUUUUUUUUAUAUUCUUUUUCUCCUUUUUCAAUUUUCCUUCUCUUUUCAACUCUUUUCCCCAAUAAACACUAUCCAUCCAUUAUAUUUCACUUGAUAGAUAUCUAUCUUUGUUUCUGACUUUCAUUGGCAACAAAAUGAAGCUUAUGGUUCUGCAAUGGAAAUCUCUUCCAUGAUGAAUUUAAGUUGCCAGGGAAUUGAUCUUGACAGAGCAAACAAACCAAAGUUCACAACCUACCAAAACUAUUACAAAUAACUACAAAUCCACGAAUUUCUGUAACUUUCCUUUCCCAUACUAGAAUUUGACGGUGCAAUCAUUUUUUUGCAUGCACAAUCUAUUGUCGCCAGAAUUUGCGUACAUCAAAUCACCAGCAAAUGGAAAUUGAACAGAGUGUUUGUAAAUUGUAAUCGAACAAUGCACCAACUCAACUAAAUCAUACUCAAUUAAAUCGGUCAGUGAAGUUGAGUUUUUCGUAUUCGGUGCAAAUAAAUAAUGUAAAAGCUCACAUCUUUUUCCACAAUUUUCUCAGCCACCAAACAGAUGGAAAAAAAAAACAAAACAAAACAAAGCAUCAGAUCAAAGCAUAUGCAAGUUAUUUCAAUUCUCUAAUAGUUUUGUGCCUCAAAAAAAAUAUACAUAUCUCUAAUAGUUUUACUGUUCUAUUACCCUUGACUUGCUUCGUACAUCAAUACCAGAUCCACCAAUCCUGUUUCAAAAUGAUUCAGUAUUAGUAAUGAUGCAGCUAAUCCACUUAAAACUAAAAUUCAAUGCAGAAAUUUGUCCAAAGCUGUUAACAUGUUGCAGGAACAUUAUAGAAAGAAGUUUUUACCAAAUAUACUUAGCAAUGAUCUUGUCAGUGUAUGG